RNAcentral lists this transfer RNA (90 nucleotides) under Candidatus Omnitrophota bacterium. RNAcentral's name for it is "tRNA-Ser". It matches the Rfam family "tRNA". From Rfam's summary of the family: Transfer RNA (tRNA) molecules are approximately 80 nucleotides in length. Their secondary structure includes four short double-helical elements and three loops (D, anti-codon, and T loops). Lineage: Bacteria; Pseudomonadati; Candidatus Omnitrophota. The record is from RNAcentral.
GGAGAGUUGGCAGAGUGGUCGAUCGCGCACGCCUCGAAAGCGUGUGACCCUUUACCGGGUCCGAAGGUUCAAAUCCUUCACUCUCCGCCA